AUCAUUACACAAUAUGAAGGCGGGCUGGACACCCCCAGCAGUGCAUUGCUUCACGGCGUGCGCGGCUGGGGCCAGCCUUAGCUGAAUUAUUCACCCGUGUCUUUUGCGUACUUGUUGUUUCCUGGGUGGGCUCGCCCGCCCUCAGGACAAACCAUUAAACCUUUUGCAAUAGCAAUCAGCGUCAGUAACAACGUAAUUAAUUACAACUUUCAACAACGGAUCUCUUGGUUCUGGCAUCGAUGAAGAACGCAGCGAAAUGCGAUACGUAGUGUGAAUUGCAGAAUUCAGUGAAUCAUCGAAUCUUUGAACGCACAUUGCGCCCUUUGGUAUUCCAAAGGGCAUGCCUGUUCGAGCGUCAUUUGUACCCUCAAGCUUUGCUUGGUGUUGGGCGUCUUGUCUCCCCGUUUUGCGGGAGACUCGCCUUAAAGUCAUUGGCAGCCGGCCUACUGGUUUCGGAGCGCAGCACAAGUCGCGCUCUCUUCCAGCCAAGGUCGAGCGUCCAGUAAGCCUUUUUUUCAACCUUUGACCUCGGAUCAGGUAGGGAUACCCGCUGAACUUAAGCAUAUCAAUAAGCGGAGGAAAGGG
Molecule: ribosomal RNA, 585 nt
Filed under: uncultured fungus
Lineage: Eukaryota; Fungi
Description: eukaryotic LSU rRNA
Rfam family: 5.8S ribosomal RNA (bases 205-358)
Source: RNAcentral